CCUACGGGGGGCUGCAGUGGGGAAUCUUGCGCAAUGGGCGAAAGCCUGACGCAGCAACGCCGCGUGGGGGAUGAAGGCUCUCGGGUUGUAAACCCCUUUCAGGGACGAAUCGGUACCUGCAGAAGAAGCCCCGGCCAACUACGUGCCAGCAGCCGCGGUAACACGUAGGGGGCAAGCGUUGUCCGGAUUUAUUGGGCGUAAAGAGCUCGUAGGCGGUUCGAUAAGUCGGGUGUGAAACCUCCAGGCUCAACCUGGAGACGCCACCCGAUACUGUUGGACUGGAGUCCGGUAGGGGAGCGUGGAAUUCCUGGUGUAGCGGUGAAAUGCGCAGAUAUCAGGAGGAACACCAGCGGCGAAGGCGGCGCUCUGGGCCGGACUGACGCUGAGGAGCGAAAGCGUGGGUAGCAAACAGGAUUAGAUACCCUUGUAGUC
RNAcentral lists this ribosomal RNA (432 nucleotides) under uncultured bacterium. RNAcentral describes it as "partial 16S ribosomal RNA". It matches the Rfam family "Bacterial small subunit ribosomal RNA", at positions 338 to 795 of the family's 1533-position model. The record is from RNAcentral.